This 329-nucleotide ribosomal RNA is filed under the name uncultured bacterium. Its description in RNAcentral is "bacterial SSU rRNA". It matches the Rfam family "Bacterial small subunit ribosomal RNA", at positions 28 to 335 of the family's 1533-position model. The record is from RNAcentral.
GACGAACGCUGGCGGCGUGCCUAACACAUGCAAGUCGAGCGGGACUUGGAUCUUGCUUCAGUCUAGCGGCGACGGUGAGUAACGCGUGACGUCAACCUGGCCUCAAACUAGGGGGAAUAACGCAUCGAAAGAUGUGCUAAUACCGUCGGUAAGACCACCAGUGACCACAAUGGUCACAGGGGUCAAAGGAAGCAAGUCCCGGUUUGAGAUGGGCUUCGCGUCCGUAUUAGGCUACGUUGGUAGAGAUAACGGCCCACCAAGGCCGACGAUCGGUAGCCGACCUGGACGAGGGUGAGUCGGCCACAUUGGAACCUGAGAAACGGUCCGAG